Molecule: ribosomal RNA, 252 nt
Filed under: uncultured bacterium
Lineage: Bacteria
Description: partial 16S ribosomal RNA
Rfam family: Bacterial small subunit ribosomal RNA
Source: RNAcentral
UACGUAGGUCCCGAGCGUUAUCCGGAUUUAUUGGGCGUAAAGCGAGCGCAGGUGGUUUAUUAAGUCUGGUGUAAAAGGCAGUGGCUCAACCAUUGUAUGCAUUGGAAACUGGUAGACUUGAGUGCAGGAGAGGAGAGUGGAAUUCCAUGUGUAGCGGUGAAAUGCGUAGAUAUAUGGAGGAACACCGAUGGCGAAAGCGGCUCUCUGGCCUGUAACUGACACUGAGGCUCGAAAGCGUGGGGAGCAAACAGG